RNAcentral lists this long non-coding RNA (246 nucleotides) under Prunus persica (peach). Its description in RNAcentral is "long non-coding RNA (PPER_LNC005952)". The record is from RNAcentral. Lineage: Eukaryota; Viridiplantae; Streptophyta; Magnoliopsida; Rosales; Rosaceae.
GAAUCUGUCUAUGAUUCAGACCAAGAUCCCGACUUUGACUCUGACCCCGACUUAGGCUCAGAUCCUGAUCUAAAUUCCUACUAAACUUGUAUCCUCUGCAUCUUCUGCUACAAAAAUUAUGACUUCCCAACUAACGACCCUAACACAUGGACAAGAUUUCACAUACUGUGGUGAUCCGAGACACACUCGUGAGACUUGUUUUAAAUUGCAUGGCUACCCCGAAUGGUGGGCCACUCUCAAAGAUCG